AGGUGUAGCUCAAGUCAGGGGAGGUGUAGCUCAAGUCAGGGGAGGUGUAGCUCAAGUCAGGGGAGGUGUAGCUCAAGUCAGGGGAGGUGUAGCUCAAGCCAGGGGAGGUGUAGCUCAAGUCAGGGGAGGUGUAGCUCAAGUCAGGGGAGGUGUAGCUCAAGUCAGGGGAGGUGUAGCUCAAGCCAGGGGAGGUGUAGCUCAAGCCAGGGGAGGUGUAGCUCAAGCCAGGGGAGGUGUAGCUCAAGUCAGGGGAGGUGUAGCUCAAUUCAGGGGAGGUGUAGCUCAAGUCAGGGGAGGCGUAGCUCUACGAAAAGUAAUUGCACAAAUUGCCUAUUAAUUGGCAGAGAAUGCUAUUUAUAUACUGAACAAAAAUAUAAAGGCAACAUGUAAAGUGUUGUUCCAAUUUUUCACGAGCUGAAAUAAAAGAUUCCAGAAAUGUUCCAUACACACACAAAAAAAGCUUAUUUCUCUCAUUUUGUGCACAAAUUUGUUUACAUACCUGUUAGUGAGCAUUUCUCCAUUGCCAAGACAAUUCAUCCACCUGACAGGUGUGGCAUCUCAAGAAGCGGAUUAAACAGCACGAUCAUCACACAGGUGCACCUUGUGCUGGGGACAAUAAAAGGCCACUCUAAAAUGUGCAGUUUUGUCACACAACACAACGCUACAGAUGUCUCAAGUUUUGAGGGAGUGUGCAAUUGGCAUGCUGACUGCAGGAAUAUCUACCAGAGUUGUUGCCAGAUAAUUGAAUGUUAAUUUCUGUACCAUAUGCCACCUCCAACGUCGUUCUUGAGAAUUUGGCGGAACGUCCGACCAGCCUCACACCCGCAGACCAUGUAUAAACGUGUUCACCUGCAGGAUUGAGACCAGCCACCUGGACAGCUGAUGAAACUGAGUAUUUCUG
This is a long non-coding RNA of Oncorhynchus tshawytscha (Chinook salmon), 901 nucleotides long. Lineage: Eukaryota; Metazoa; Chordata; Actinopteri; Salmoniformes; Salmonidae. The record is from Ensembl.